Molecule: long non-coding RNA, 1403 nt
Filed under: Mytilus galloprovincialis (Mediterranean mussel)
Lineage: Eukaryota; Metazoa; Mollusca; Bivalvia; Mytilida; Mytilidae
Source: RNAcentral
GUUAAGCAUUUCAGGCACCGCUGAAAUCUGGCGAACAGAUCUACAACCAGAAUGUUUAAUGAUAGACAAAUACGAUGGUACGUGGAAAUGGCUUAACUUACCUUGUGUUCAAACCCGUAAAUACGUAUGUGAAUAUCCAAGAGUAAGUAUAAUUCUUCAUUUAGAUUUUAGGUUGCCAUAUUCCGUAAACAAAUUAAUUUAUAACUACAACUCAUAAAUCACGAAGACGUCAGCACAUGUCACAGACUGUUUACAAUCGACUGGGUUCACAUUAAAAAAAUGAGGCGGAAGAAGAAAAAAAAUAACCAGAAGAAAAUAACAUUUUAGCAAAUUAAUAUAUUGAUUUAUACUAAAUAUAAAUUUAUGUAAUUACAUACAAAUUGGCAAUUUGAACUCUAUUAAACUACCGAUUGACAAGCAAUUGUCUUGUCAAAAUUGAGAGAAUAACGCUGUUCAAUUUAAAUCUUCAAUAUGGACAAAUGUUAAAACAAAAGCCAAAAUAUACCAACGAUUCAAACAUUUUCUUAUCGAUGACGUCAAAGUGCUAGGUUUCACAGAAUCAUAAUUUAUAUCGUAUGAUUUAAAGGCUAUUCAUAUAUUUAUGAUGAUGCUGUGUUUCUCAGUAUAAAUCCAUAUAAUAAUCGAUCCGGGUAAUGUAAUAGAUAAUUAGAUAAAAAAAAACUUGGAAAUGUGUACAUAUAUUUGUAACUGUUUUUUUUAUACCUUUUAUCUAUAAGUUUUUAUCACGUGUCCUGCUUUAUACCAUUUUUUUCUCUCCCGUAAAUAUGUUUUUUUAAGGAAUUUGAAAUAACAAAUAAUUAUAAUAUGGAUUCCCUAUAUUGUUCAAUAAUGUCUUGUUAUUUUUAUUUAACCAUAAAUUGACUAUUAGAUAUAUUUGGUCUAGUAUUGUGAUAUCUGAUAUUCUAAGUUGAUGAUAAUAUAUACAUUCAAAUUCAGAUUAUAUUAAAUUUUAUUUAUAAGCCCAUAUGGAAUCAUGUGUGUCGGUUCUAUUUGGAAUCUCAUAUUCUGAUAUAUAUCAUCAUUUCAGCACAUCUUCAAUAAUAGACAAGUUAACAUAUAUGGGACUGACUUGACAAUAAAUCAUUCUGCUUGACCGUAAAAUGCGAACAAAAGAUCCUACUUUUAUUAAACUAUAGAAUCAACAGACAUAGGUCCAAUACAAUACUAGUUUAUGUUUCUUAUAAUUGACAAAUAUUUUCUAACCUUUACAUAUGCCAUGUGAUCUCGAUUUGAGAUUUUGAGUUAUUUUCAUGUGUCUGUAACGUGAUAUUGUUGUGUUUUUCAGAGAGUUUGUCCAUAGAGAUUUUGACACUGCCAACGAUGCUCUUCAUUUGAAAAUAAAUUGUCGAUGCAGAGAAAAAAAUAAAAUCAUUAAAAGCGGA